GACGUAGGGUGCGAGCGUUGUCCGGAUUUAUUGGGCGUAAAGAGCUCGUAGGCGGCUUGUCGCGUCGACUGUGAAAACCCGCGGCUCAACCGCGGGCCUGCAGCCGAUACGGGCAGGCUAGAGUUCGGUAGGGGAGACUGGAAUUCCUGGUGUAGCGGUGAAAUGCGUAGAUAUCAGGAGGAACACCGAUGGCGAAGGCAGGUCUCUGGGCUGAUACUGACGCUCAUGCACGAAAGCGUGGGGAGCAAACAGG
Molecule: ribosomal RNA, 253 nt
Filed under: uncultured bacterium
Lineage: Bacteria
Description: partial 16S ribosomal RNA
Rfam family: Bacterial small subunit ribosomal RNA
Source: RNAcentral